This 520-nucleotide ribosomal RNA is filed under the name uncultured Glomeromycotina. RNAcentral's name for it is "SSU rRNA". It matches the Rfam family "Eukaryotic small subunit ribosomal RNA", at positions 569 to 1090 of the family's 1831-position model. The record is from RNAcentral. Lineage: Eukaryota; Fungi; Glomeromycota.
AGCAGCCGCGGUAAUUCCAGCUCCAAUAGCGUAUAUUAAAGUUGUUGCAGUUAAAAAGCUCGUAGUUGAAUUUCGGGAUUCUACCGUUGGUCGGGCUAACAAGUCUGUACUGGUGUGUAGAAUUUCUACCUUCUGGGGAACUAUCAUGUUAUUAAUUUAGCGUGGUGGGAAACCAGGACCUUUACCUUGAAAAAAUUAGAGUGUUCAAAGCAGGCUUAUGUCUGAAUACAUUAGCAUGGAAUAAUAGAAUAGGACGGUGGUCCUGUUUUGUUGGUUUCUGAAUCACCGUAAUGAUUAAUAGGGAUAGUUGGGGGCAUUAGUAUUCAAUUGUCAGAGGUGAAAUUCUUGGAUUUAUUGAAGACUAACUUCUGCGAAAGCAUUUGCCAAGGAUGUUUUCAUUAAUCAAGAACGAAAGUUAGGGGAUCGAAAGACGAUCAGAUACCGUCGUAGUCUUAACCAUAAACUAUGCCGACUAGGGAUCGGACGAUGUUAAAUUUUAUUGUACUCGUUCGGCGUCCUU